Molecule: non-coding RNA, 107 nt
Organism: Thalictrum thalictroides
Lineage: Eukaryota; Viridiplantae; Streptophyta; Magnoliopsida; Ranunculales; Ranunculaceae
Source: the annotation of a GenBank genome assembly
AAAUUAUGGUGUGGACACCUAUGAAGUAAAUCUUUAAAUCUUUCCCAACACUCGAAGAAAUGUUCACCAUCUUUUUGUGUAAAAUUAGUAAUUUCUCUGCGAAGGGC